CGGGUGGAGCUUGCGGUUUAAUUGGAUUCAACGCCGGAAAUCUUACCGGGACCGACAGCAAUAUGAAGGCCAGGCUGAAGACUUUGCCGGAUUAGCUGAGAGGUGGUGCAUGGCCGUCGUCAGUUCGUACUGUGAAGCAUCCUGUUAAGUCAGGCAACGAGCGAGACCCACGCCCACAGUUGCCAGCGUACUCUCUGGAGUGACGGGUACACUGUGGGACCGCCGCUGCUAAAGCGGAGGAAGGAAUGGGCAACGGUAGGUCAGUAUGCCCCGAAUAUCCCGGGCUACACGCGAGCUACAAUGGUUGGUACAAUGGGUAUCUACCCCGAAAGGGGACGGGAAUCUCCUAAAACCAAUCUUAGUUCGGAUUGAGGGCUGCAACUCGCCCUCAUGAAGCUGGAAUCCGUAGUAAUCGCGUUUCAACAGAACGCGGUGAAUACGUCCCUGCUCCUU
RNAcentral lists this ribosomal RNA (453 nucleotides) under uncultured Methanosaeta sp. RNAcentral describes it as "bacterial SSU rRNA". It matches the Rfam family "Archaeal small subunit ribosomal RNA", at positions 885 to 1338 of the family's 1478-position model. The record is from RNAcentral. Lineage: Archaea; Methanobacteriati; Methanobacteriota; Methanomicrobia; Methanotrichales; Methanotrichaceae.